UCCUUGGUGGUCCAGUUGUUAGGACUCUGGGCUUUCACUGCAGAGGGUGUAGGUUCAGUCCCUGGUCAGGGAA
RNAcentral lists this transfer RNA (73 nucleotides) under Bos taurus (domestic cattle). It matches the Rfam family "tRNA". From Rfam's summary of the family: Transfer RNA (tRNA) molecules are approximately 80 nucleotides in length. Their secondary structure includes four short double-helical elements and three loops (D, anti-codon, and T loops). Further hydrogen bonds mediate the characteristic L-shaped molecular structure. tRNAs have two regions of fundamental functional importance: the anti-codon, which is responsible for specific mRNA codon recognition, and the 3' end, to which the tRNAs corresponding amino acid is attached (by aminoacyl-tRNA synthetases). tRNAs cope with the degeneracy of the genetic code in two manners: having more than one tRNA (with a specific anti-codon) for a particular amino acid; and 'wobble' base-pairing, i.e. permitting non-standard base-pairing at the 3rd anti-codon position. Lineage: Eukaryota; Metazoa; Chordata; Mammalia; Artiodactyla; Bovidae. RNAcentral also lists the same sequence under 4 other names. The record is from Rfam by way of RNAcentral.